RNAcentral lists this ribosomal RNA (198 nucleotides) under uncultured Lysinibacillus sp. RNAcentral describes it as "partial 16S ribosomal RNA". It matches the Rfam family "Bacterial small subunit ribosomal RNA", at positions 334 to 525 of the family's 1533-position model. Lineage: Bacteria; Bacillati; Bacillota; Bacilli; Caryophanales; Bacillaceae. The record is from RNAcentral.
UACUCCUACGGGAGGCAGCAGUAGGGAAUCUUCCACAAUGGACGAAAGUCUGAUGGAGCAACGCCGCGUGAGUGAAGAAGGAUUUCGGUUCGUAAACUCUGUUGUAAGGGAAGAACAAGUACAGUAGUAACUGGCUGUACCUUGACGGUACCUUAUUAGAAAGCCACGGCUAACUACGUGCCAGCAGCCGCGGUAAUA